AGAGUUUGAUCAUGGCUCAGGAUGAACGCUAGCGACAGGCCUAACACAUGCAAGUCGAGGGGCAGCGGGAGCGAAGCUUGCUUUGCUUGCCGGCGACCGGCGCACGGGUGAGUAACACGUAUGGAACCUGCCCGCCACAGGGGGAUAACCGGGAGAAAUUCCGACUAAUACCCCGUAUGCUCACGGUAGCGCAUGCUACAGAGAGGAAACCGCGAGGGGUGGCGGAUGGCCAUGCGGCGCAUUAGCUAGUUGGCGGGGUAAUGGCCCACCAAGGCGACGAUGCGUAGGGGUUCUGAGAGGAAGGUCCCCCACAUUGGUACUGAGACACGGACCAAACUCCUACGGGAGGCAGCAGUGAGGAAUAUUGGUCAAUGGGCGAGAGCCUGAACCAGCCAAGUCGCGUGAGGGAAGACGGUCCUAAGGAUUGUAAACCUCUUUUGUCGGGGAACAACGAGUUGCACGUGUGCGACAGUGAGGGUACCCGAAGAAAAAGCAUCGGCUAACUCCGUGCCAGCAGCCGCGGUAAUACGGAGGAUGCGAGCGUUAUCCGGAUUUAUUGGGUUUAAAGGGUGCGUAGGCGGCAAGUAAGGUCGGCGGUUAAACUGCGGGGCUCAACCCCGUAUCGCCGUCGAAACCGGCAGGCUAGAGUGGAGAAGAAGUAAGCGGAAUGCGAGGUGUAGCGGUGAAAUGCAUAGAUAUCGCGCAGAACUCCGAUUGCGAAGGCAGCGUACUAUUCUCCUACUGACGCUGAGGCACGAAAGCGUGGGUAUCGAACAGGAUUAGAUACCCUGGUAGUCCACGCAGUAAACGAUGAAUACUCGCUGUCCGGCAAGCAUAGAUUGCUGGGUGGCCAAGCGA
Molecule: ribosomal RNA, 858 nt
Filed under: uncultured bacterium
Lineage: Bacteria
Description: bacterial SSU rRNA
Rfam family: Bacterial small subunit ribosomal RNA
Source: RNAcentral